ACGCUCGACACCUACGUGAGGCAGCAGUGGGGAAUAUUGCACAAUGGGGGAAACCCUGACGCAGCGACGCCGCGUGGAGGAAGAAGGUCUUCGGAUUGUAAACUCCUGUUGUUGGGGAAAAAGAGGAUGGUACCCAACAAGGAAGUGACGGCUAACUACGUGCCGGCAGCCGCGGUAAUCUGAGCGGGCUGGCAAGGC
Molecule: ribosomal RNA, 198 nt
Filed under: uncultured bacterium
Lineage: Bacteria
Description: partial 16S ribosomal RNA
Rfam family: Bacterial small subunit ribosomal RNA
Source: RNAcentral